RNAcentral lists this ribosomal RNA (330 nucleotides) under uncultured bacterium. RNAcentral describes it as "bacterial SSU rRNA". It matches the Rfam family "Bacterial small subunit ribosomal RNA", at positions 568 to 898 of the family's 1533-position model. The record is from RNAcentral.
UGUGUAGGCGGUUGUUUAAGUUUGGUGUGAAAUCUCCCGGCUCAACCGGGAGGGUGCGCCGAAUACUGAGCGACUAGAGUGCGGGAGAGGAGAGUGGAAUUCCUGGUGUAGCGGUGAAAUGCGUAGAUAUCAGGAGGAACACCGGUGGUGUAGACGGCUCUCUGGACCGUGACUGACGCUGAGACACGAAAGCGUGGGUAGCAAACAGGAUUAGAUACCCUGGUAGUCCACGCCCUAAACGAUGCAUAUUUGGUGUGGGUCAUUCAGUUGAUCCGUGCCGGAGCUAACGCGUUAAAUAUGCCGCCUGGGGAGUACAGUCGCAAGGCUGAA